UAGGUAUUUUCCUCCCUGUCCCCAACCUCCCCCCAUUCCUCUCGAGUCCUCCCACGCCGGCCGCCGCCCAUCGUCAGACAUUGCGACUCCUUUGCGCGGCCGCGACCUACAUGCCGGCGAGCCUCCCGUCACCACUCCCCUGCGACCCUCCACCCCGGCGCGCCGCCCCUCAUCACCACUCCCCUGCGACCCUGGAUCCUGGUGCGCCGCCCCUUGUCACUGCUCCACUGCGACCAACGGCGAAUCCAAAUUUCUAGCGAAAAUAUCUGAAGAUCCUUACUAGUUUCCAGAGACGUUCGAUCCUAUUAAGCAAGAGUCUUCAAGGUGGUAGUUCAGUUCAACACUGCUGACCUCCGAGUCCCGCGCCCCAUGCUCCAACCUUGGACUUCUUCCCAGGGACAUGAAUGGAGGUGCCCAGUUUCAGCAAAGUACGCGAAUUCAUUCAAGCGCCUUCCUACCUUUCUGAUGUCGUUUUCGUCCAAUAACAUUUCUGGCAGGGAUUGCUGUCUUUUCCCUUGUGAAAUAAAAACUGAUCUUCAAGUUCUGUUAGUCAGAUAUGAUUAUUAUGUAUGACUAUAUCAUCAGCAAGGUGUUUUUAGUACCAAAUGAUGAAUAUUUCAACCACUAUUUGGCGUACUAUGAGCCUGUACUCAUGAAGUACACUGCAAGGAAAUACGCGCCUACAAGUUGUCCCUAUAAGAUUAAGUGUAGGUAUGUGGCAUGCAAGCAGAUGAGAGGAUGGACUUGACAAUUACCAAUACUACUUCAUUUUUUAUCUGACAAGAUGCAAAAGAUAAAUGGAGGAUUAUAUGGGUGUGUGGCAAGUAUACUGCAAUGAUGAUAAUGAUGUUCCUAUUCAUGAUGAUGAUGAUGACGGUGGAUGCUUUCAGUUUUAAUUAAGUUGUAGGGAUGAUGUUCAUGUUGGAUGAUGUUCCUCGGUUAAGUUUUAGAUAAGUUGUAGGGAUGUGAUGGAUGCUUUCAGUUUAAGUUUGCUAUCAAGAAAAUAUUUAGAUUAUACAUCACAUUAGAUGGUGUUCCUCCUGUAAUAUCCACUAUUGUAAUCCAACAAUUUUUAUCAAAUAUAUGAUUUCUUCCUCU
Triticum aestivum (bread wheat) is the source of this 1098-nucleotide long non-coding RNA. RefSeq lists it as uncharacterized. The transcript is spliced from 7 exons. The record is from RefSeq and is a predicted model, not a curated record. NCBI's taxonomy places the organism in Eukaryota, Viridiplantae, Streptophyta, Magnoliopsida, Poales, Poaceae.